This 253-nucleotide ribosomal RNA is filed under the name uncultured bacterium. RNAcentral's name for it is "partial 16S ribosomal RNA". It matches the Rfam family "Bacterial small subunit ribosomal RNA", at positions 524 to 776 of the family's 1533-position model. The record is from RNAcentral.
UACGUAGGAGGCAAGCGUUGUCCGGAAUUACUGGGCGUAAAGCGCGUGUAGGUGGUGGGACAAGUCUGCUGUGAAAGCGCCUGGCUUAACCGGGCGAGGUCGGCGGAAACUGUCGCACUCGAGGACGGUAGAGGGGGGUGGAAUUCCCGGUGUAGUGGUGAAAUGCGUAGAGAUCGGGAGGAACACCAGUGGCGAAGGCGUCUACCUGGCCUAAUACUGACACUGAGGCACGAAAGCGUGGGGAGCAAACAGG